RNAcentral lists this ribosomal RNA (3694 nucleotides) under Drosophila melanogaster (fruit fly). RNAcentral describes it as "eukaryotic LSU rRNA". It matches the Rfam family "Eukaryotic large subunit ribosomal RNA", at positions 1 to 2598 of the family's 3401-position model. The record is from RNAcentral. Lineage: Eukaryota; Metazoa; Arthropoda; Insecta; Diptera; Drosophilidae.
UAUGUUAUUAUUCUUCGUUGGUUCGUUAAAAAUGGAUAAAUAAAAACUUUGCAUACAAGAAUUAAUAAAAAUGUUAUAACGAAUUUAAUUAAAUGUUUUAUCAUUAUAUAUAAAGAAUUUAUGGCAAGAUAAAGUUAUAUACAACCUCAACUCAUAUGGGACUACCCCCUGAAUUUAAGCAUAUUAAUUAGGGGAGGAAAAGAAACUAACAAGGAUUUUCUUAGUAGCGGCGAGCGAAAAGAAAACAGUUCAGCACUAAGUCACUUUGUCUAUAUGGCAAAUGUGAGAUGCAGUGUAUGGAGCGUCAAUAUUCUAGUAUGAGAAAUUAACGAUUUAAGUCCUUCUUAAAUGAGGCCAUUUACCCAUAGAGGGUGCCAGGCCCGUAUAACGUUAAUGAUUACUAGAUGAUGUUUCCAAAGAGUCGUGUUGCUUGAUAGUGCAGCACUAAGUGGGUGGUAAACUCCAUCUAAAACUAAAUAUAACCAUGAGACCGAUAGUAAACAAGUACCGUGAGGGAAAGUUGAAAAGAACUCUGAAUAGAGAGUUAAACAGUACGUGAAACUGCUUAGAGGUUAAGCCCGAUGAACCUGAAUAUCCGUUAUGGAAAAUUCAUCAUUAAAAUUGUAAUAUUUAAAUAAUAUUAUGAGAAUAGUGUGCAUUUUUUCCAUAUAAGGACAUUGUAAUCUAUUAGCAUAUACCAAAUUUAUCAUAAAAUAUAACUUAUAGUUUAUUCCAAUUAAAUUGCUUGCAUUUUAACACAGAAUAAAUGUUAUUAAUUUGAUAAAGUGCUGAUAGAUUUAUAUGAUUACAGUGCGUUAAUUUUUCGGAAUUAUAUAAUGGCAUAAUUAUCAUUGAUUUUUGUGUUUAUUAUAUGCACUUGUAUGAUUAACAAUGCGAAAGAUUCAGGAUACCUUCGGGACCCGUCUUGAAACACGGACCAAGGAGUCUAACAUAUGUGCAAGUUAUUGGGAUAUAAACCUAAUAGCGUAAUUAACUUGACUAAUAAUGGGAUUAGUUUUUUAGCUAUUUAUAGCUAAUUAACACAAUCCCGGGGCGUUCUAUAUAGUUAUGUAUAAUGUAUAUUUAUAUUAUUUAUGCCUCUAACUGGAACGUACCUUGAGCAUAUAUGCUGUGACCCGAAAGAUGGUGAACUAUACUUGAUCAGGUUGAAGUCAGGGGAAACCCUGAUGGAAGACCGAAACAGUUCUGACGUGCAAAUCGAUUGUCAGAAUUGAGUAUAGGGGCGAAAGACCAAUCGAACCAUCUAGUAGCUGGUUCCUUCCGAAGUUUCCCUCAGGAUAGCUGGUGCAUUUUAAUAUUAUAUAAAAUAAUCUUAUCUGGUAAAGCGAAUGAUUAGAGGCCUUAGGGUCGAAACGAUCUUAACCUAUUCUCAAACUUUAAAUGGGUAAGAACCUUAACUUUCUUGAUAUGAAGUUCAAGGUUAUGAUAUAAUGUGCCCAGUGGGCCACUUUUGGUAAGCAGAACUGGCGCUGUGGGAUGAACCAAACGUAAUGUUACGGUGCCCAAAUUAACAACUCAUGCAGAUACCAUGAAAGGCGUUGGUUGCUUAAAACAGCAGGACGGUGAUCAUGGAAGUCGAAAUCCGCUAAGGAGUGUGUAACAACUCACCUGCCGAAGCAACUAGCCCUUAAAAUGGAUGGCGCUUAAGUUGUAUACCUAUACAUUACCGCUAAAGUAGAUGAUUUAUAUUACUUGUGAUAUAAAUUUUGAAACUUUAGUGAGUAGGAAGGUACAAUGGUAUGCGUAGAAGUGUUUGGCGUAAGCCUGCAUGGAGCUGCCAUUGGUACAGAUCUUGGUGGUAGUAGCAAAUAAUCGAAUGAGACCUUGGAGGACUGAAGUGGAGAAGGGUUUCGUGUGAACAGUGGUUGAUCACGAGUUAGUCGGUCCUAAGUUCAAGGCGAAAGCCGAAAAUUUUCAAGUAAAACAAAAAUGCCUAACUAUAUAAACAAAGCGAAUUAUAAUACACUUGAAUAAUUUUGAACGAAAGGGAAUACGGUUCCAAUUCCGUAACCUGUUGAGUAUCCGUUUGUUAUUAAAUAUGGGCCUCGUGCUCAUCCUGGCAACAGGAACGACCAUAAAGAAGCCGUCGAGAGAUAUCGGAAGAGUUUUCUUUUCUGUUUUAUAGCCGUACUACCAUGGAAGUCUUUCGCAGAGAGAUAUGGUAGAUGGGCUAGAAGAGCAUGACAUAUACUGUUGUGUCGAUAUUUUCUCCUCGGACCUUGAAAAUUUAUGGUGGGGACACGCAAACUUCUCAACAGGCCGUACCAAUAUCCGCAGCUGGUCUCCAAGGUGAAGAGUCUCUAGUCGAUAGAAUAAUGUAGGUAAGGGAAGUCGGCAAAUUAGAUCCGUAACUUCGGGAUAAGGAUUGGCUCUGAAGAUUGAGAUAGUCGGGCUUGAUUGGGAAACAAUAACAUGGUUUAUGUGCUCGUUCUGGGUAAAUAGAGUUUCUAGCAUUUAUGUUAGUUACUUGUUCCCCGGAUAGUUUAGUUACGUAGCCAAUUGUGGAACUUUCUUGCUAAAAUUUUUAAGAAUACUAUUUGGGUUAAACCAAUUAGUUCUUAUUAAUUAUAACGAUUAUCAAUUAACAAUCAAUUCAGAACUGGCACGGACUUGGGGAAUCCGACUGUCUAAUUAAAACAAAGCAUUGUGAUGGCCCUAGCGGGUGUUGACACAAUGUGAUUUCUGCCCAGUGCUCUGAAUGUCAAAGUGAAGAAAUUCAAGUAAGCGCGGGUCAACGGCGGGAGUAACUAUGACUCUCUUAAGGUAGCCAAAUGCCUCGUCAUCUAAUUAGUGACGCGCAUGAAUGGAUUAACGAGAUUCCUACUGUCCCACCGAGCCUCUUUUCGGUACCACGGGUUGAGCAGCUAUCCAAGACUGCUCAUUGAGGUAGGCCCCCUGGUGGGAGUAUCGUGGUGGCUGUGGUUGGUACCCAUAUCGCGGGUAGAGCCUUCAUGCUCGACGUUUGAGUUACGGUGCUAGUUGCGCAAAACUCGGGUGCUGUGACCCAGAGAUCAGUAGAGAUUUUAGGUAGAUCUCGCUCCUCAGCAAGGGGGAGUGCUUGCCCGGCAAGCAAGUACUCGAAUUGCUACCGGGGUGGUCGCUAUGUACAUAGCUAUAGCUUCUAGUCCGGGACGCUUGUCUGGCGUAUCCAGACACAUGCACCAUAUGCUCACUUGUGGGCGUAUAGGGUGCCGUGGUUGUAAUCCCUUCAGUGUGGAACACGCCACGUAAAAUAAGUUCGGAGGGAUCCGAAAAGCAUACAUUGUCCCUAUCUACUAUCUAGCGAAACCACAGCCAAGGGAACGGGCUUGGAAUAAUUAGCGGGGAAAGAAGACCCUUUUGAGCUUGACUCUAAUCUGGCAGUGUAAGGAGACAUAAGAGGUGUAGAAUAAGUGGGAGAUAUUAGACCUCGGUUUGGUAUCGUCAAUGAAAUACCACUACUCUUAUUGUUUCCUUACUUACUUGAUUAAAUGGAACGUGUAUCAUUUCCUAGCCAUUAUACGGAUAUAUUUAUUAUAUCUUAUGGUAUUGGGUUUUGAUGCAAGCUUCUUGAUCAAAGUAUCACGAGUUUGUUAUAUAAUCGCAAACAAAUUCUUUAAUAAAACGAUGCAUUUAUGUAUUUUUGAUUUGAAAAUUUGGUAUAACUCCAAUUACUCAGGUAUGAUCCAAUUCA